This is a long non-coding RNA of Actinia tenebrosa (Australian red waratah sea anemone), 743 nucleotides long. RefSeq lists it as uncharacterized. The record is from RefSeq and is a predicted model, not a curated record. NCBI's taxonomy places the organism in Eukaryota, Metazoa, Cnidaria, Anthozoa, Actiniaria, Actiniidae.
AAUUAAAAAAUUUCAAGUUGUUCCAAGUGGUCAAAAUACAUCGAAAGAACCCGCUUUUUGAAAAUUUCAGUGACAAGAUGCAAGUCGCGGGGAAAAUUUGUGAUCAAUUGAAGUAAAAAGCGAAGACUUCCUGUUUAAGAUGAAGAGAGUGCCCCGCUCGAGCUCAUAAGACCUCGACGAGUCGAUUAGAAUCUCCUCGCAAAGAUGAGGCUUGAUAUUCGCCGUAAACGUUCAGUGAUACUAUCGAAAUAUACAGUAUUAUGCAGACAAAGAACCGACAAAGAAACAGUUUCUAUGAAUGGUAUAUAUGAGAAAUUUGCCUGAAAAUGGACUGAAAGUUUUAAAGUAUUUUUUAAAUUAAAAUACUAUGUAAUUCUUCUGAUUUUUAUAAAUUGUAAUCCUUGUGAUUUUUUAAAUGUGAAUUAAAAAUGUCAACGACAAAAAAGAAAGAAACCGACACACGUUUUGCUGUUAAAUUUUAAGAUAUUUUGUUUAUCGCAUGGUCACGUGGUCAAGGAUUUGACAGUGUCUUGCAUUGAAGUGGCUUUUUGACGUCUACAAUUGGUAUUAUUUAUUAUUCUGAUAAAAAGACGACAAGUAUUAAUCUUUCUUACACUAUGAAGACUAAUACCUGUCUACAGAAAGAAGACUACUCAAACUCACGUCAAACAUAUUUGACAGCUUUCACUGAGUAAGAAGGAAGCCAUUUAAGUGCCGAGAACAUUUUGAUGACAGUUGAACAA